Molecule: ribosomal RNA, 494 nt
Filed under: uncultured bacterium
Lineage: Bacteria
Description: partial 16S ribosomal RNA
Rfam family: Bacterial small subunit ribosomal RNA
Source: RNAcentral
GACGAACGCUGGCGGCGUGCUUAACACGUGCAAGUCGAACGGUGAAGCGCCUUCCUUUUUGGUGGGUGUGGAUGAGUGGCGAACGCGUGAGUAACACGUGAGUAACCUGCCCCCUUCUUCUGGAUAACCGCAUGAAAGUGUGGCUAAUACGGGAUAUUCUGGGUCUGUCGCAUGAUGGGUCUGGGAAAGAUAUUGUUUCGGUGGGGGAUGGGCUCGCGGCCUAUCAGCUUGUUGGUGGGGUGAUGGCCUACCAAGGCGGUGACGGGUAGCCGGCCUGAGAGGGUGGACGGUCACACUGGGACUGAGACACGGCCCAGACUCCUACGGGAGGCAGCAGUGGGGAAUAUUGCACAAUGGGCGCAAGCCUGAUGCAGCGACGCCGCGUGAGGGAUGGAGGCCUUCGGGUUGUGAACCUCUUUCGCCAGUGAAGCAGGCCUGCCUCGUUUGUGGGUGGGUUGACGGUAGCUGGAUAAGAAGCGCCGGCUAACUACGUG